CGCGUAGGCGGCUCUUCAAGUCAAAGGUGAAAUCCCUCGGCUCAACCGGGGAACUGCCUUUGAUACUGUCGAGCUUGAGUCCCGGAGAGGGUAGCGGAAUUCCGAGUGUAGCGGUGAAAUGCGUAGAUACUCGGAGGAACACCCGUGGCGAAGGCGGCUACCUGGACGGGUACUGACGCUGAGGCGCGAAAGCUAGGGGAGCAAACAGGAUUAGAUACCCUGGGAGUCC
RNAcentral lists this ribosomal RNA (229 nucleotides) under uncultured bacterium. RNAcentral's name for it is "partial 16S ribosomal RNA". It matches the Rfam family "Bacterial small subunit ribosomal RNA", at positions 568 to 796 of the family's 1533-position model. The record is from RNAcentral.